GUUGAACGCUGGCGGCGUGCCUUACACAUGCAAGUCGAACGGUCACAUGCCGCACGGUGUUCACUAGUGUCGACCGGGUGCGUAAUGCUUCCGCACGUGCCCCCUCCUUGGGGGUAUCUACUCACUUGAGUAGCUCAUACCUCAUACCAUCUAAUGAUUAAAGCGGGGUGCUUUAAUGCCUCGCGCGAUUGUUGCGGCCCGUGGCAGAUUAGGUAGUUGGUGAGGUAAAGGCUCACCAAGUCAACGAUGUGUAGCUGGUCUGAGAGGAAGACCAGACACACUGGAACUGAGACACGGCCCAGACUCCUACGGGAGGCAGCAGUAGGGAAUUUUGGGCAAUGGGCGCAAGCCUGAUCCAGCAAUGCCGCGUGAAGGAAGAAGGCCUUCGGAUUGUAAACUUCUUUUGUAAGGAACGAAACAAUGCUGGUUAAUACCCGCGGCUAAUGACGGUACCGUAAGAAAAAGCAACGGCUAACUACGUG
This 482-nucleotide ribosomal RNA is filed under the name uncultured bacterium. RNAcentral's name for it is "partial 16S ribosomal RNA". It matches the Rfam family "Bacterial small subunit ribosomal RNA", at positions 28 to 507 of the family's 1533-position model. The record is from RNAcentral.